UGACGCUGGCGGCGUGCUAUACAUGCAGUCGAGCGCAGGAAGCCGUCUGAACCCUUCGGGGGGACGACGGUGGAAUGAGCGGCGGACGGGUGAGUAACACGUAAAGAACCUGCCCAUAGGUCUGGGAUAACCCCGAAAAAUCGGGGCUAAUACCGGAUGUGUCAUCGGACCGCAUGGUCCGCUGAUGAAAGGGGCUCCGGCGUCCCCCAUGGAUGGGUUUGCGGUGCAUUAACUAGUUGGKGGGGUAACGGCCCACCAAGGGGACGAUGCAUAACCGACCUGAGAGGGUGAUCGGCCACACUGGGACUGAAACACGGCCCAAACUCCUACGGGAGGCAGCAGUAGGGAAUCUUCCACAAUGGACGAAAGUCUGAUGGAGCAACGCCCCGUGAACGAUGAAGGCUUUCGGGUCGUAAAGUUCUGUUGUAAGGGAAGAACAAGUGCCGCAGGCAAUGGCGGCACCUUGACGGUACCUUGCGAGAAAGCCACGGCUAACUACGUGCCAGCAGCCGCGGUAAUACGUAGGUGGCAAGCGUUGUCCGGAAUUAUUGGGCGUAAAGCGCGCGCAGGCGGCCUCUUAAGUCUGAUGUGAAAGCCCCCGGCUCAACCGGGGAGGGCCAUUGGAAACUGGGAGGCUUGAGUAUAGGAGAGAAGAGUGGAAUUCCACGUGUAGCGGUGAAAUGCGUAGAGAUGUGGAGGAACACCAGUGGCGAAGGCGACUCUUUGGCCUAUAACUGACGCUGAAGCGCGAAAGCGUGGGGAGCAAACAGGAUUAGAUACCCUGGUAGUUCACGCCGUAAACGAUGAGUGSUAAGUGUUGGAGGGUUUCCGCCCUUCAGUGCUGAAGCUAACGCAUUAAGCACUUCCGCCUGGGGAGUACGGUCGCAAGGCUGAAAC
RNAcentral lists this ribosomal RNA (897 nucleotides) under Exiguobacterium sp. D6(2010). RNAcentral's name for it is "bacterial SSU rRNA". It matches the Rfam family "Bacterial small subunit ribosomal RNA", at positions 31 to 900 of the family's 1533-position model. The record is from RNAcentral. Lineage: Bacteria; Bacillati; Bacillota; Bacilli; Caryophanales.